UGCUCGGGUGGUGAAAUUGGCAGACACGUACGCUUGAGGGGCGUAUGCUGUAAGGCAUGCGGGUUCGAAUCCCGUCCCGAGCAAC
This 85-nucleotide transfer RNA is filed under the name Candidatus Xiphinematobacter sp. Idaho Grape. RNAcentral describes it as "tRNA-Leu". It matches the Rfam family "tRNA". Rfam says of the family: Transfer RNA (tRNA) molecules are approximately 80 nucleotides in length. Lineage: Bacteria; Pseudomonadati; Verrucomicrobiota; Spartobacteria. The record is from RNAcentral.